GAAACGGGGUCUAAUACCGGAUAGGAGCAUUCACCGCAUGGUGGGUGUUGGAAAGAAUUUCGGUCUUGGAUGGACUCGCGGCCCAUCAGCUUGUUGGUGAGGUAAUGGCUCACCAAGGCGACGACGGGUAGCCGGCCUGAGAGGGUGACCGGCCACACUGGGACUGAGACACGGCCCAGACUCCUACGGGAGGCAGCAGUGGGGAAUAUUGCACAAUGGGCGCAAGCCUGAUGCAGCGACGCCGCGUGAGGGAUGACGGCCUUCGGGUUGUAAACCUCUUUCAGUAGGGAAGAAGCGAAAGUGACGGUACCUGCAGAAGAAGCACCGGCUAACUACGUGCCAGCAGCCGCGGUAAUACGUAGGGUGCGAGCGUUAUCCGGAAUUAUUGGGCGUAAAGAGCUCGUAGGCGGUUUGUCGCGUCUGCCGUGAAAGUCCGGGGCUUAACUCCGGAUCUGCGGUGGGUACGGGCAGACUAGAGUGCAGUAGGGGAGACUGGAAUUCCUGGUGUAGCGGUGGAAUGCGCAGAUAUCAGGAGGAACACCGAUGGCGAAGGCAGGUCUCUGGGCUGUAACUGACGCUGAGGAGCGAAAGCAUGGGGAGCGAACAGGAUUAGAUACCCUGGUAGUCCAUGCCGUAAACGUUGGGCACUAGGUGUGGGGGCCAUUCCACGGUUUCCGCGCCGCAGCUAACGCAUUAAGUGCCCCGCCUGGGGAGUACGGCCGCAAGGCUAAAACUCAAAGGAAUUGACGGGGGCCCGCACAAGCGGCGGAGCAUGCGGAUUAAUUCGAUGCAACGC
RNAcentral lists this ribosomal RNA (796 nucleotides) under Micrococcus lylae. Its description in RNAcentral is "bacterial SSU rRNA". It matches the Rfam family "Bacterial small subunit ribosomal RNA", at positions 153 to 962 of the family's 1533-position model. The record is from RNAcentral. Lineage: Bacteria; Bacillati; Actinomycetota; Actinomycetes; Micrococcales; Micrococcaceae.